AGAGUUUGAUCCUGGCUCAGGAUGAACGCUAGCGGCAGGCCUAACACAUGCAAGUCGAGGGGUAACAUAGAAAAGCUUGCUUUUCUGAUGACGACCGGCGCACGGGUGCGUAACGCGUAUACAACCUACCUUUUAGCGGGGAAUAGCCCAGGGAAACUUGGAUUAAUGCCCCAUAGUAUAUGGACUUCUCCUGAAGUUUAUAUUAAACAUUUAUGGCUAUUAGAUGGGUAUGCGUCCUAUUAGUUAGUUGGUAAGGUAACGGCUUACCAAGGCAGCGAUAGGUAGGGGUCCUGAGAGGGAGAUCCCCCACACUGGUACUGAGACACGGACCAGACUCCUACGGGAGGCAGCAGUGAGGAAUAUUGGACAAUGGGCGAGAGCCUGAUCCAGCCAUGCCGCGUGCAGGAAGACUGCCCUAUGGGUUGUAAACUGCUUUUACAGAGGAAGA
Molecule: ribosomal RNA, 448 nt
Filed under: uncultured bacterium
Lineage: Bacteria
Description: bacterial SSU rRNA
Rfam family: Bacterial small subunit ribosomal RNA
Source: RNAcentral